This 497-nucleotide ribosomal RNA is filed under the name uncultured bacterium. Its description in RNAcentral is "partial 16S ribosomal RNA". It matches the Rfam family "Bacterial small subunit ribosomal RNA", at positions 28 to 507 of the family's 1533-position model. The record is from RNAcentral.
GAUGAACGCUGGCGGCGUGCCUAAUACAUGCAAGUCGAGCGAACGGACGAGAAGCUUGCUUCUCUGAUGUUAGCGGCGGACGGGUGAGUAACACGUGGAUAACCUACCUAUAAGACUGGGAUAACUUCGGGAAACCGGAGCUAAUACCGGAUAAUAUUUUGAACCGCAUGGUUCAAAAGUGAAAGACGGUCUUGCUGUCACUUAUAGAUGGAUCCGCGCUGCAUUAGCUAGUUGGUAAGGUAACGGCUUACCUAGGCAACGAUGCAUAGCCGACCUGAGAGGGUGAUAGGCCACACUGGAACUGAGACACGGUCCAGACUCCUACGGGAGGCAGCAGUAGGGAAUCUUCCGCAAUGGGCGAAAGCCUGACGGAGCAACGCCGCGUGAGUGAUGAAGGUCUUCGGAUCGUAAAACUCUGUUAUUAGGGAAGAACAUAUGUGUAAGUAACUGUGCACAUCUUGACGGUACCUAAUCAGAAAGCCACGGCUAACUACGUG